Molecule: ribosomal RNA, 774 nt
Filed under: uncultured Neocallimastigales
Lineage: Eukaryota; Fungi; Neocallimastigomycota; Neocallimastigomycetes; Neocallimastigales
Description: partial large subunit ribosomal RNA
Rfam family: Eukaryotic large subunit ribosomal RNA
Source: RNAcentral
UAUGUGAUCGUCUCUCGCAUAUCAAUAAGCGGAGGAAAAGAAACUAACAAGGAUUCCCCUAGUAACGGCGAGUGAAGCGGGAAGAGCUCAAAUUUGAAAUCUUAAAGGGUUUCCCUUUACGAAUUGUAGUUUAAAGAAGUGUUUUCUGUUGAGGUUUUGGUAAAAGUUCUUUGGAAUAGGACAUCAUAGAGGGUGAGAAUCCCGUAUUUGACCUUUACUUUCAACUUUGUGAUACACUUUCAAAGAGUCGGAUUGUUUGGGAAUGCAGUCCAAAAUGGGUGGUAAAUUUCAUCUAAAGCUAAAUAUUGGCGAGAGACCGAUAGCGAACAAGUACCGUGAGGGAAAGAUGAAAAGAACUUUGAAAAGAGAGUUAAACAGUACGUGAAAUUGUCAAAAGGGAAGCGUUUGACACCAGUGUUGUUUUUCUGAAAAUCAAUUAAAGAACUGUUUAUGCUAAGCUGUUUAGACUUUAUCAGCUAUCUGUUUAGUUUUGAGCUUUUCUUUAAUGCACUUUUCAGUUAACAAGUCAACAUCAAUUUCUUUUGCUGUAAAAAAGCUUGAGGAAGGUGGCUUGAGAUUCGUCUUAAGUGUUUAUAGCCUCUUGCCUAUGCAGUCGGAGAGAUUGAGGUCUGCAGCGUAGAUCCUUCGGGGCUAAAUGCAUUUGUGCUAAGUUAUAGCAUUUUAUAGACAACUUGUUGACUAUGAUUUGUCUUGUAGCUUACUCGCUUAUGUUAUUUUACCUACGCUUAGGAUGUUGACGAGACUGUCGAUCUC